This 274-nucleotide ribosomal RNA is filed under the name uncultured bacterium. Its description in RNAcentral is "partial 16S ribosomal RNA". It matches the Rfam family "Bacterial small subunit ribosomal RNA", at positions 336 to 607 of the family's 1533-position model. The record is from RNAcentral.
CGCCUACGGGAGGCAGCAGUGAGGAAUAUUGGUCAAUGGGCGCGAGCCUGAACCAGCCAAGUCGCGUGAGGGAAGACGGUCCUAUGGAUUGUAAACCUCUUUUGUCGGGGAGCAAAAGACGCCACGCGUGGCGUUCCGAGAGUACCCGAAGAAAAAGCAUCGGCUAACUCCGUGCCAGCAGCCGCGGUAAUACGGAGGAUGCGAGCGUUAUCCGGAUUCAUUGGGUUUAAAGGGUGCGCAGGCGGGCCUUUAAGCCGGCGGUUAAAUCGCGGGG